Molecule: long non-coding RNA, 128 nt
Organism: Haliotis rubra (blacklip abalone)
Lineage: Eukaryota; Metazoa; Mollusca; Gastropoda; Lepetellida; Haliotidae
Exons: 3
Source: RefSeq, a predicted model, not a curated record
UAACUAUUAAUCAGAAGAAAACUAAUGUCGUUCAUUACCGACCCUGUUGUUUCAAUAGAUCACAAGUUGUAUUCAAAAUUGGUGAUGUUACUAUUGACUACACCAGUGCGUAUAAAUCCGUAGCUCUU